AGAGUUUGAUCCUGGCUCAGGAUGAACGCUGGCGGCAUGCCUAAUACAUGCAAGUCGAACGAGAGGAAGGAAAGCUUGCUUUUCUGAAUCUAGUGGCGAACGGGUGAGUAACACGUAGGUAACCUGCCCAUGUGCCCGGGAUAACUUCUGGAAACGGAUGCUAAAACCGGAUAGGUAGCAGACAAGCAUUUGACUGCUAUUAAAGUGGCUAAGGCCAUGAACAUGGAUGGACCUGCGGUGCAUUAGCUGGUUGGUGAGGUAACGGCCCACAAGGCGACGAUGCAUAGCCGGCUGAGAGGGCGACGCACAUUGGGACUGAGACACGGCCCAAACUCCGUACGGGAGCA
This 347-nucleotide ribosomal RNA is filed under the name uncultured bacterium. RNAcentral describes it as "bacterial SSU rRNA". It matches the Rfam family "Bacterial small subunit ribosomal RNA", at positions 8 to 349 of the family's 1533-position model. The record is from RNAcentral.